RNAcentral lists this long non-coding RNA (835 nucleotides) under Manacus vitellinus (golden-collared manakin). RNAcentral describes it as "lncRNA (ENSMVIG00005018821.1)". The record is from RNAcentral. Lineage: Eukaryota; Metazoa; Chordata; Aves; Passeriformes; Pipridae.
GUGUUAUCCGAGAGAAGGUGAUGAGGAGAAGGUGUGACUGAGGGCAGGCUGUGGAUCUGAACUGCACUGUGGCUCUGUCCAGCAAAGAAAAUUACAGUUUCACUUGCUUUUGGAAUAUUUAAACUUACACCAACUGCAUGAGAAUAUGUUAGGAAACAGUGCCUGGAACUAGGAUUUUCAAUGGAGCUGGGCAGAGCUGAGACAUUAUCAACAUAUCUCUGUUAAGGCAGAACAAAGAGCAAAUACAUGGACUGGACAAAAAGCUCAGAAAAGCUCAGAAGGCUACAGUUUAAAAGGCAGGAAGAGUAGGAGUGUCAUUAAAAAUCCUCAGUGGGGCUGGCUUGAAUACUCCUCAGGAGGAAGAAGAGACCAGGCUGAGGAGUCUGCAAAAAAGGUUCCAUUGUGAGGUGGGAUGGAGAUAGUGCAGAAGGAAUGUAAAGCUUGAAGGACACAGGUUUACAGACCACUGACUUCCAGGGAAAAGGAAGGACAUUCACUCGCCAAGAGUAUUUUGGGAAGAUAUAGAGCCAGUACAGGCACAGCUGUAACAGUCAUUUAACAAGUCCCACAAAUGCAGGGACCUGCCAGAAGCUGUGUAUGGAGCUAAGAAAUGUAACUGGGAGGACAGAGAGAGAAAAAAUAUGCGUGUAAGACAAGCCCUGUGUGUUCCAAGAACCUUUUUUUUUGGCUAUCAGUUCUGAUACCUGUGACCCAACAGCUGCCAUAGAAUGUUGAUUUGACCGAUGUUUACAUCCAUAGGUUAAUGUUUUAGCUGUAUUUCACAUCAAAAUGCUUUACAUUCAUUUAUGUGAAUACUCUAAUAAACUAAUUUAAG